This 425-nucleotide ribosomal RNA is filed under the name uncultured rumen bacterium. RNAcentral's name for it is "bacterial SSU rRNA". It matches the Rfam family "Bacterial small subunit ribosomal RNA", at positions 354 to 776 of the family's 1533-position model. The record is from RNAcentral.
GUGAGGAAUAUUGGUCAAUGGGCGAGAGCCUGAACCAGCCAAGUAGCGUGCAGGAUGACGGCCCUAUGGGUUGUAAACUGCUUUUAUACAGGGAUAAAGUGGGGAACGUGUUCCCUUUUGUAGGUACUGUAUGAAUAAGGACCGGCUAAUUCCGUGCCAGCAGCCGCGGUAAUACGGAAGGUCCGGGCGUUAUCCGGAUUUAUUGGGUUUAAAGGGAGCGCAGGCCGAUGGUUAAGCGUGACGUGAAAUGUAGCCGCUCAACGGCUGAACUGCGUCGCGAACUGGCUAUCUUGAGUGAGUUCGAUGUUGGCGGAAUUCGUGGUGUAGCGGUGAAAUGCUUAGAUAUCACGAAGAACUCCGAUUGCGAAGGCAGCCAACAAGGCCUUUACUGACGCUAAAGCUCGAAGGUGCGGGUAUCGAACAGG